Molecule: ribosomal RNA, 491 nt
Filed under: uncultured bacterium
Lineage: Bacteria
Description: partial 16S ribosomal RNA
Rfam family: Bacterial small subunit ribosomal RNA
Source: RNAcentral
GUGAACGCUGGCGGUAGGCCUAACACAUGCAAGUCGAACGGCAGCACAGUAAGAGCUUGCUCUUACGGGUGGCGAGUGGCGGACGGGUGAGGAAUACAUCGGAAUCUACUUUUUCGUGGGGGAUAACGUAGGGAAACUUACGCUAAUACCGCAUACGACCUACGGGUGAAAGCAGGGGAUCUUCGGACCUUGCGCGAUUGAAUGAGCCGAUGUCGGAUUAGCUAGUUGUCGGGGUAAAGGCCCACCAAGGCGACGAUCCGUAGCUGGUCUGAGAGGAUGAUCAGCCACACUGGAACUGAGACACGGUCCAGACUCCUACGGGAGGCAGCAGUGGGGAAUAUUGGACAAUGGGCGCAAGCCUGAUCCAGCCAUACCGCGUGGGUGAAGAAGGCCUUCGGGUUGUAAAGCCCUUUUGUUGGGAAAGAAAAGCAGCAGGUUAAUACCCCGCUGUUCUGACGGUACCCAAAGAAUAAGCACCGGCUAACUUCGUG